Molecule: unclassified non-coding RNA, 244 nt
Filed under: plant metagenome
Description: partial contains small subunit ribosomal RNA, internal transcribed spacer 1, and 5.8S ribosomal RNA
Source: RNAcentral
UCUCCGUAGGUGAACCAGCGGAGGGAUCAUUACCGAGUUUACAACUCCCAAACCCAAUGUGAACCAUACCAAACUGUUGCCUCGGCGGGGUCACGCCCCGGGUGCGUCGCAGCCCCGGAACCAGGCGCCCGCCGGAGGGACCAACCAAACUCUUUCUGUAGUCCCCUCGCGGACGUUAUUUUCACAGCUCUGAGCAAAAAUUCAAAAUGAAUCAAAACUUUCAACAACGGAUCUCUUGGUUCUG